GGAGAAGUACUCAAGAGGCCGAAGAGGGCGGUUUGCUAAACCGUUAGGUCGGAUAUAACCGGCGCCAGGGUUCGAAUCCCUGCUUCUCCGCCA
This 93-nucleotide transfer RNA is filed under the name Eubacteriales Family XIII. Incertae Sedis bacterium. RNAcentral describes it as "tRNA-Ser". It matches the Rfam family "tRNA". From Rfam's summary of the family: Transfer RNA (tRNA) molecules are approximately 80 nucleotides in length. Their secondary structure includes four short double-helical elements and three loops (D, anti-codon, and T loops). Lineage: Bacteria; Bacillati; Bacillota; Clostridia; Peptostreptococcales; Anaerovoracaceae. The record is from RNAcentral.